CCCCCCCUCUGGGCGGCCCUGAGUCUGAGCUGAAGGGUGGUAUGAAAUGCAAAUAUGUGUUCUGUCAUCUUUUGGCACCAUAUAAUGUGUUUGCUUGUGGCCCUCAAUGCAAGAUCUCAGUCCCUUGAUUUUACAGCCAUUAUGAAACGCUACUGGAGAAUGUGGCCCACCAUUACAUGAUGGCUGCCUUGUGUGUUCUUCAGAGGUG
This is a long non-coding RNA of Mauremys reevesii (Reeves's turtle), 208 nucleotides long. RefSeq lists it as uncharacterized. NCBI's taxonomy places the organism in Eukaryota, Metazoa, Chordata, Testudines, Geoemydidae. The transcript has 3 exons. The record is from RefSeq and is a predicted model, not a curated record.